This 488-nucleotide ribosomal RNA is filed under the name uncultured bacterium. RNAcentral describes it as "partial 16S ribosomal RNA". It matches the Rfam family "Bacterial small subunit ribosomal RNA", at positions 28 to 507 of the family's 1533-position model. The record is from RNAcentral.
GACGAACGCUGGCGGCGUGCUUAACACAUGCAAGUCGAACGGAAAGGCCCUGCUUUUGUGGGGUGCUCGAGUGGCGAACGGGUGAGUAACACGCGAGUAACCUGCCCUUGACUUUGGGAUAACUUCAGGAAACUGGGGCUAAUACCGGAUAGGAGCUCCUGCUGCAUGGUGGGGGUUGGAAAGUUUCGGCGGUUGGGGAUGGACUCGCGGCUUAGCAGCUUGGUGGUGAGGUAGCGGCUUACCAGGGCUACGACGGGUAGCCGACCUGACCGGGUGACCGGCCACACUGGAACUGAGACACGGGACAGACUCAGACGGGAGGCAGCAGUGGGGAAUCGGCCGCAAUGGGCGAAAGCCUGACGGAGCAACGCCGCGUGAGUGAUGAAGGUCUUCGGAGAGUAAAACUCUGUGAUUAGGGAAGAACAAAUGUGUAAGUAACUAGGCACGUCUUGACGGUAAAUAAUCAGAAAGCCACGGCUAACUAAGUG